UUUUUUUUUUUUUUUUUUUUUCUUCUUCGCCGUCGCCCUUUCAAAGAAUUUUUUUUAGGGUUAUUCUUAUUUUAACCAUAUGAGGUUAUUUCAGAGUAAGAUGCUUCAUGAUAAUAAUCUUGGUAAGAACAAAAUUGGUUUUUAUUACAGAGGUUUAUUCUUUCGAUUAGUGUGGUUUUUUUUUUUCUUUUUUGUAAAAAAGAAAAAAAAAGAGAAAAAA
This 220-nucleotide non-coding RNA is filed under the name Tiarina fusus. Lineage: Eukaryota; Ciliophora; Prostomatea; Prorodontida; Colepidae. The record is from RNAcentral.